RNAcentral lists this ribosomal RNA (447 nucleotides) under uncultured bacterium. RNAcentral describes it as "bacterial SSU rRNA". It matches the Rfam family "Bacterial small subunit ribosomal RNA", at positions 330 to 792 of the family's 1533-position model. The record is from RNAcentral.
UCCAGACUCCUACGGGAGGCAGCGGUGGGGAAUAUUGGGCAAUGGGCGCAAGCCUGACCCAGCAACGCCGCGUGAAGGAAGAAGGCUUUCGGGUUGUAAACUUCUUUUAAGAGGGAAGAGUAGAAGACGGUACCUCUUGAAUAAGCCACGGCUAACUACGUGCCAGCAGCCGCGGUAAUACGUAGGUGGCAAGCGUUGUCCGGAUUUACUGGGUGUAGAGGGGGCGCAGACGGCGAUGCAAGCCAGGAGUGAAAGCCCGGGGCCCAACCCCGGGACUGCUCUUGGAACUGCGUGGCUGGAGUGCAGGAGGGGCAGGCGGAAUUCCUGGUGUAGCGGUGAAAUGCGUAGAUAUCAGGAGGAACACCGGUGGCGAAGGCGGCCUGCUGGACUGCAACUGACGUUGAGGCCCGAAAGCGUGGGGAGCAAACAGGAUUAGAUACCCGAGUA